RNAcentral lists this small RNA (584 nucleotides) under Pongo abelii (Sumatran orangutan). Its description in RNAcentral is "processed transcript". Lineage: Eukaryota; Metazoa; Chordata; Mammalia; Primates; Hominidae. The record is from RNAcentral.
AGUCUCAAACUCCUGGGCUCAAGUGAUCCUCCUGCCUCAGCCUCCCGAAGUGCUGGGAUUACAGGUGCAUGCCACCAUGCCCAGGUAAUUUUAGUAGAGAUGGAGUUUCACCAUGUCAGCCAGGCUGGUCUGGAACUCCUGACCUCUGGUGAUCCGCCCACCUCAGCCUCCCAAAGUGCUGGGAUUACAGGGCACUUUGCCACCAUCACCUUGACCUUCAUCGACAAGAACGGAGAGACUGAGCUGUGCAUGGAAGGUCGAGGCAUCCCUGCUCCUGAGGAAGAGCGGACGCGACAGGGCUGGCAGCGGUACUACUUUGAGGGCAUUAAACAGACCUUUGGCUAUGGCGCACGCUUAUUUUAGGGCCAGCGGCAGGGGACUCCAGCCUGCUGGACACUUCAGUCCAGCUCUCUCCUGACUGGGGCUUGCGACUCACAGGAUUGCAUCGUCCCAGCUGCUAACUUGGGGCCGGGGCCCCUCCCCUCCACAUAUACCUUGGGUUUGUGCAUGUUUUCUGCUGGGUGGGUUCAGAGGGCAAUUUCUCUUUUAUGUGUACAUAUGCUAAAUAAACAUAAUUUAAAAAA